CCAACCUGUAAACUCGUUUGACUAUUUGGGCAGGCUUGGGGUGUAUCCCACCUCAGCCUCCCAACUAUAUUAGGGGGAAAUYCCAACGGGGUCUCCUCCUAGUAAAUAACAAACCCCGGCGCUUGAUGCGUCAAGGAACUGAAAUUGUUAGUUGCACUCUUGUCGGCCCGUUUACGGUGCUUGUGCAAGAGUUGCCAUGACACAUUCUACAUAAAAUGACUCUCGGCAACGGAUAUCUCGGCUCUCGCAUCGAUGAAGAACGUAGCGAAAUGCGAUACUUGGUGUGAAUUGCAGAAUCCCGUGAACCAUCGAGUCUUUGAACGCAAGUUGCGCCCGAAACCAUUAGGUUGAGGGCACGUCUGCCUGGGUGUCACACAUCGUUGCCCCAACGCCAAAUGCUUCGUGCUAUGCGGCGUSUGGGGUGAAUGUUGGCCUCCCGCGAGCUAAGGCUCACGGUUGGUUUAAAUUUGGGUCCAUGGUAGGGUAUGCCAUGAUGGAUGGUGGMUGAGUAACGCUCGAGACCAAUCAUGGGUAACCUUAUCAUGCUUGGGACCUACAGACCCGCAUGCGUGGUGUAACCACUCUCACAAUGAGACCUCAGGUCAGGCGGGG
This 612-nucleotide ribosomal RNA is filed under the name Lotus corniculatus. RNAcentral's name for it is "eukaryotic LSU rRNA". The stretch from base 218 to 373 matches the Rfam family "5.8S ribosomal RNA". The record is from RNAcentral. Lineage: Eukaryota; Viridiplantae; Streptophyta; Magnoliopsida; Fabales; Fabaceae.